UGUUAAUAGAAUAUUUUCAUUCUUGAUCAAUGAUAAAACUCUGCUAUAUUAUUUUCAUUCUUGAUCAAAAUUAAAUUGGUCUGGAUGCCACCUUUAUACCCGUCGGCCCGUGAAGGCAUAGAUGCUGCUGAUGAUGGCGCAGUUGAUCCUAAGGAGUAUAAAGCUAUGAAGCAUCAAGUUGCUUAGCUAACAAGAACACUUAAUUCCUCGGAGGCUAGGAUGUUGGGUAUGCAAGCCCAAAUUAAUAGAUUAUGAUGGAUAUGUUUAAAUGGAUAUGUAUAUUAUCUUUAAGGGUUUGAAUGUAGUUUUAGUUCGAAUUAGAAGUACUUUUAAGUUUAUAAUGUUUAAGUGUUUGAAUGAUGUUUAUGAUGUUUAAGUGUUUGAAUGAUGUUUAUGAUGUUUAAGUGUUUGAAUGUAGUUGAAUUUGAUGUUUAUAAGUGUUUGAAUGGACAAUGUUUAAGUGUUCAAGUGUUUGAACAUUGUUUAUGGUUGUUGUGUUGCAUUGUUGAUGAAUUGGAUGACUGUUUUGGUUGA
Molecule: long non-coding RNA, 534 nt
Organism: Lycium ferocissimum
Lineage: Eukaryota; Viridiplantae; Streptophyta; Magnoliopsida; Solanales; Solanaceae
Exons: 2
Source: RefSeq, a predicted model, not a curated record